CAACGAGCCUAGCCUUGGCCGAGAGGCCCGGGUAAUCUUUGAAACUGCAUCGUGAUGGGGAUAGAUUAUUGCAAUUAUUAAUCUUCAACGAGGAAUGCCUAGUAAGCGCAAGUCAUCAGCUUGCGUUGAUUACGUCCCUGCCCUUUGUACACACCGCCCGUCGCUCCUACCGAUUGGGUGUGCUGGUGAAGUGUUCGGAUUGGCGACCGGGGGCGGUCUCCGCUCUCGGCCGCCGAGAAGUUCAUUAAACCCUCCCACCUAGAGGAAGGAGAAGUCGUAACAAGGUUUCCGUAGGUGAACCUGCGGAAGGAUCAUUGAAUCGAUCGAAUCCACCUUUGGUAACCAAACGUCUCCCUCGUGGCACGGCUAGUUGCUGUGUGCGAGCGUCGGUCCCCUGGCCGCGGCUCCCGAGCCACUGUUUCAGGUCCGGCGGGCGUCUUCCUCAUAUGAGGGGCCUCCUUUGGGGAGAAGACGUCGGUAAUUUUAUCCAACCCAACCCACUCCAAACCUCAACAUCCACUAAUGCAAUUGACGGUACAGAUUCGUCUGUCCGUCUCCAAACCAAAGACAACUCUCAACAACGGAUAUCUUGGCUCCCGUAUCGAUGAAGAACGCAGCGAAAUGCGAUACGUAGUGUGAAUUGCAGAAUUCCGUGAACCAUCGAAUCUUUGAACGCAAAUUGCGCCCACGGCUUCGGUCAAGGGCAUGUCUGCCUCAGCGUCGGUUUACACCCUCGCCCUCCCCCUCGACGCGAGGGGCGUGUGGCGGAUCUGGCCCUCCCGGCUCGGUCGGCCCGUGCGGCCGGCUCCGGGUUGGCUGAAGCACAGAGGCUUGAGCAUGGACCCCGUUUGUAGGGUAAUGACUUGGUAGGUAGGUUUUCCUGCACAACCCGUCGUUGCCCGAGGGAACUUUGCUGGAGGCCCCGCAGGAAUUCGAGUGCGCGCCGUUGGCGCCCUCGGACCCCCCAACCUUCGACCUGAGCUCAGGCAAGACUACCCGCUGAACUUAAGCAUAUCAUUAAGCGGAGGAAAAGAAACUAACUAGGAUGCCCUUAGUAACGGCGAGCGAACCGGGCAAAGCCCAACUUGAAAAUCUCCAGCCUCCGGCUGGCGAAUUGUAGUCUAGAGAAGCGCUCUCUGCUCCAGUCCUGUCCCAAGUCCCCUGGAAAGGGGCGUCAAAGAGGGUGAGAACCCCGUUGGGACCGGCUCCUGGGUCUCCACGAGACGCUUUCGUAGAGUCGGGUUGUUUGGGAAUGCAGCCCAAAGCAGGUGGUAAU
This 1276-nucleotide small RNA is filed under the name Chlorella sp. NUA-2014-2. RNAcentral's name for it is "eukaryotic LSU rRNA". The stretch from base 1 to 317 matches the Rfam family "Eukaryotic small subunit ribosomal RNA", at positions 1513 to 1831 of the family's 1831-position model. Lineage: Eukaryota; Viridiplantae; Chlorophyta; Trebouxiophyceae; Chlorellales; Chlorellaceae. The record is from RNAcentral.